Molecule: ribosomal RNA, 1371 nt
Filed under: Triticum aestivum (bread wheat)
Lineage: Eukaryota; Viridiplantae; Streptophyta; Magnoliopsida; Poales; Poaceae
Description: partial small subunit ribosomal RNA
Source: RNAcentral
AUGGACGAAACCCUCGCCACCGUCCUCUCCUACCUCCCGCCUCCCUCGGUCUCCACCACCGCAUCCCCGUCCUCCUCGUCCACCGCCUCCGAUGACGAUGACCGCAUCAACUGCCUCCCGGACGUGCUCCUCCGCAACAUCAUCUCCCGCCUCCCCACCAAGGACGCGGCCCGCACCACCAUCCUCUCCUCCCGCUGGCGCAGCCUCUGGGCUUCCACCCCACUCCGGCUCGACGACGCUGGAAUCGUUCCUACCGCCGUCACCGCCGCGCUGAACUCCCACCCGGGCCCGGUCACUUCCGCCCGCCUCUCCUCCGAGCACCUCGCUUACCAGGAACCCGACGUCCUCGACUCCUGGUUCGCCUCCCUCGCAGCCAAGAACGUCGAGGAACUCUCCGUCGUCAACGGAUCCUGGCCCGCUGAAUGUGAGUGGCGUCCUCCCCCCGGCCUCCUUGGAUGCGCGUCCCUCCGCCGCCUCUGGCUCGGGCUCUGCCAGUUCCCGGACAUUUCCGGCCUCGCUUCGGCCUUCCCCAGCCUGCAAGAGCUCGGGAUUGUCCAUUGCUCCAUGCAGGACCGCGAGCUCCACGCUGUGCUCCCGCGCUGCCCCGAGCUUGAGAGGCUCGCUUUCGUGCUGACACAGGACUACCCAAGGUACAUCCACAUCUGGUCAGGGAGCCUCCAGUCCCUGGUUGUGUGGAGGUCCAUGGUCAGAGAGGUGCACCUUGACGAUGCCCCAAACUUGGAGCGGUUGCUGUUGGAGCCGAUUGGCGGUGCCUCUACUCACGUCAAGAUUAUUAAUGCACCGAGGCUGAAAAUUUUCGGGUACUUUGACGUUGGACUGCAUCAGCUCAAGAUCGGCCCCACUGUGAUCAAGGAUGGGAUAGGGAUGAAGGUGAAGCCAAAUGCGAUGGUUCGGACCCUCAGGACAUUGGCAUUGAAGGUGCAGUUUGGAGAUGAGAAGCAAGUCAAGCUGGUGCCCCUCUUGCUUAGAUGCUUCCCAUGCCUAGAAACCUUGUAUAUCAAGUCAUCUCCUUCUGAAUCACCAACCAAUGUUGAUGUGGACUUCUGGGAUCAAGUAGGCCACACUGAAUGUGUUACCUCACAUAUUAAGAAGUUUGUGUUCGAAGCUGCCCGAGGAGAGGAUACCGAGCUGGCAUUUGUCAAGUUUGUCAUGGAAAGAGCCCAAAUGUUGGAGGUGAUGCGUGUUUUCGUGGAUGAUGGUUGCUCUAGAGACGUUGUGCUAAGUCGUUUAUCUUCAGAAGGAUGUGUGUCUGCAGAUGCUAGCGUGGUGGUGGAGAGGCAAGACAUGUCCCAUGCCUGGAGCUUCGAAAGAGCUAGCAACAUGUCACAGUGUGACCCCUUUGGUUGCUAA